RNAcentral lists this ribosomal RNA (840 nucleotides) under uncultured bacterium. RNAcentral describes it as "bacterial SSU rRNA". It matches the Rfam family "Bacterial small subunit ribosomal RNA", at positions 626 to 1428 of the family's 1533-position model. The record is from RNAcentral.
UUGGAAACUGUCUAUCUGGAGUACUGGAGGGGUAAGCGGAGAUUCCUGGAUGUACGCGGUGAAAUGACGUAGAUAUCCAGGAGGAACACUGACGGUCAGAUGCGAAGGCGUGCUUACUGGACAGUAACUGACGUUGAGGCUCGAAAGCGUGGGGAGCAAACGAUGUCGAUUAGAUACCCUGGUAGUCCACGCUGGUAAACGCAGUGAAUACCAGGUGUAGGCGGACAUAGUUCGUCUGUGCCGCAAGGCUAAAACGCAAUAAGUAUUCCACCUGGGGAGUCCGUUCACAAGCGGUGGAGCAUCGUGGUUUAAUUCGACGGCAACGCGAAGAAGCGCUGUAGCAUGAUGCUUGACAUCCGGAGAAUGCAUCUGCGAAGAGACCUUACGCAGAUGGCUUGACAUCCCGCUGAAUGUCUCUUAAUCGAGGCAGGCCUUCGGGACAGCGGAGACAGGUGGUGCAUGGUUGUCGUCAGCUCGUGUCGUGAGAUGUUGGGUCAAGUCCCGCAACGAGCGCAACCCUUGUCCAUAGUAGCCAGCAGUAAGAUGGGAACUCUAUGGAGACUGCCGGGGAUAACCCGGAGGAAGGUGGGGAUGACGUCAAAUCAUCAUGCCCCUUACGAUCUGGGCUACACACGUGCUACAAUGGCGUAACAAAGGGAAGCGACCCUGCGAAGGUGAGCAAACCCCAAAAAUAACGUCCCAGUUCGGACUGUAGUCUGCAACCCGACUACACGAAGCCGGAAUCGCUAGUAAUCGCAGAUCAGCAUGCUGCGGUGAAUACGUUCCCGGGUCUUGUACACACCGCCCGUCACACCAUGGGAGUUGGAAAUGCCCGAAGCC